GCCGGACGAGGUGGCGAGCAUCUGUCGUCCCAGCUACUCGGGAGGCUGAGGCAGGAGAAUGGCGUAAACCCGGGAGGCAGAGCUUGCAGUGAGCCGAGAUCCGGCCACUGCACUCCAGCCUGGGCGACAGAGCNNNNNNNNNNGAGAUGGAGUCUAGCUCUGUCGCCCAGGCUGGAGUGCAGUGGCCAGAUCUCAGCUCACUGCAAGCUCCGCCUCCCGGGUUCACGCCAUUCUCCUGCCUCAG
This 244-nucleotide signal recognition particle RNA is filed under the name Chlorocebus sabaeus (green monkey). RNAcentral describes it as "Metazoan signal recognition particle RNA". It matches the Rfam family "Metazoan signal recognition particle RNA". From Rfam's summary of the family: The signal recognition particle (SRP) is a universally conserved ribonucleoprotein. It is involved in the co-translational targeting of proteins to membranes. Lineage: Eukaryota; Metazoa; Chordata; Mammalia; Primates; Cercopithecidae. The record is from Rfam by way of RNAcentral.